ACGGGAGGCAGCAGUGGGGAAUAUUGGACAAUGGGGGAAACCCUGAUCCAGCGACGCCGCGUGAGUGAAGAAGUAUUUCGGUACGUAAAGCUCUAUCGGCAAGGAAGAAAAUGACGGUACUUGACUAAGAAGACCCGGCUAACUACGUGCCAGCAGCCGCAGUAAUACGUAGGGGGCAAGCGUUAUCCGGAUUUACUGGGUGUAAAGGGAGCGUAGACGAUAAGGCAAGUCUGAAGUGAAAUGCAUGGGCUCAACACAGGAACGGCUUUGGAAACUGUCAAACUAGAGUGCAGGAGAGGUAAGUGGAAUUCCUAGCGUAGCGGUGAAAUGCGUAGAUAUUGGGAGGAAAACCAGUGGCGAAGGCGGCUUACUGGACUGUAACUGACGUUGAGGCUCGAAAGCGUGGGGAGCAAACAGGAUUAGAUACCCUGGUA
Molecule: ribosomal RNA, 434 nt
Filed under: uncultured Lachnospiraceae bacterium
Lineage: Bacteria; Bacillati; Bacillota; Clostridia; Lachnospirales; Lachnospiraceae
Description: partial 16S ribosomal RNA
Rfam family: Bacterial small subunit ribosomal RNA
Source: RNAcentral